CUGGGUGCUCACUUCAGCAGUAUAAAAUUGCAAUGAAGAUUACCAUGGCCCUUGUGCAAGGACGACACACAAAUUCAUGAAGCAUUCCAUACGUUU
Molecule: small nuclear RNA, 96 nt
Filed under: Sciurus vulgaris (Eurasian red squirrel)
Lineage: Eukaryota; Metazoa; Chordata; Mammalia; Rodentia; Sciuridae
Source: RNAcentral